Long non-coding RNA from Chrysemys picta bellii (western painted turtle), 499 nucleotides. RefSeq lists it as uncharacterized. Lineage: Eukaryota; Metazoa; Chordata; Testudines; Emydidae. The record is from RefSeq and is a predicted model, not a curated record.
CCCGCCCUGCAUUCACAGAUCGCUGGCCGGCCGUUAGCCUCGGGCCUCCGGCUGUCUGGAGCUCCGACCCUGCUCCCCUCCCCCGCUGCCGAACGCGCUGCUCUGCGGCACGUGCUGGACAAAGGGGAAACCUUUACAGCGAGGAUCCUGUCACCAUGGCAGAGAAGCAGCUGCCAUUGAUGUGGCAUAGGCAAGGUUUUCAAGAGCUCCUCAGGAUUUGGCUGACUUUGAAGCCCUACCAUCUGUCACCGACUUUAUUAUCAGAUCCAAGAGAAACCCAGCCUCUGAAUGACUGUCCCUCUGCAGAGACAAGGCAAGGUUCCCAUUGAGUGUCAAUGAAAAGUUUAUAUUGAACACAGCCAGGUUUCUAUCCAUGGUCAAAGUUGACGAGCGCCUCAUGGUUCUGGGCUUCAUGGAAGAUUCACCCAGCAUUGUUCAUAACAUCACUGGGAAAAUGAAAAUAUAAAGGGGAAUGAAUAAUAAAAGCCGUUUACUACCA